UGAGGAAUAUUGCGCAAUGGGGGAAACCCUGACGCAGCAACGCCGCGUGGGUGAAGAAGGCCCUCGGGUUGUAAAGCCCUGUCAGGUGGGAAGAAACUUCCACAGGCGAAACAUCUGGGGAACUGACGGUACCACCAGAGGAAGCACCGGCUAACUCCGUGCCAGCAGCCGCGGUAAGACGGAGGGUGCAAGCGUUGUUCGGAAUCACUGGGCGUAAAGCGCGUGUAGGCGGUUGGAUAAGUCGGAUGUGAAAUCCCGGGGCUUAACCUCGGAAGUGCAUUCGAAACUGUUCAGCUAGAGUACGGGAGAGGGGAGUGGAAUUCCUGGUGUAGAGGUGAAAUUCGUAGAUAUCAGGAGGAACACCGGUGGCGAAGGCGGCUCUCUGGACCGAUACUGACGCUGAGACGCGAAAGCGUGGGGAGCAAACAGG
RNAcentral lists this ribosomal RNA (430 nucleotides) under uncultured bacterium. RNAcentral describes it as "bacterial SSU rRNA". It matches the Rfam family "Bacterial small subunit ribosomal RNA", at positions 355 to 776 of the family's 1533-position model. The record is from RNAcentral.